ACGGGAGGCAGCAGUAGGGAAUAUUGCACAAUGGGGGAAACCCUGAUGCAGCAACGCCACGUGUGGGAAGAAGCAUUUCGGUGUGUAAACCACUGUCGUGAGGGAAUAAUGUUGCGUUUCGGCGCAAUUGAAUGUACCUCGAAAGGAAGCACCGGCAAACUUCGUGCCAGCAGCCGCGGUAAUACGAGGGGUGCAAGCGUUGUUCGGAAUCACUGGGCGUAAAGGGAGCGUAGGCGGAGGAGCAAGCAGUCUGUACAAUCCCGGGGCCUAACCCCGGCUCUGCAGACUGGACUGUUUCUCUUGGAUAGUUCAGGGGCAGGCGGAAUUCCUGGUGUAGCGGUGGAAUGCGUAGAGAUCAGGAAGAACACCGAUGGCGAAGGCAGCCUGCUGGGGACUUAUCGACGCUGAGGCUCGAAAGUGCGGGUAGCAAACAGGAUUAGAUACCCUGGUA
Molecule: ribosomal RNA, 451 nt
Filed under: uncultured Fibrobacter sp.
Lineage: Bacteria; Pseudomonadati; Fibrobacterota; Fibrobacteria; Fibrobacterales; Fibrobacteraceae
Description: bacterial SSU rRNA
Rfam family: Bacterial small subunit ribosomal RNA
Source: RNAcentral